Molecule: ribosomal RNA, 324 nt
Filed under: uncultured bacterium
Lineage: Bacteria
Description: bacterial SSU rRNA
Rfam family: Bacterial small subunit ribosomal RNA
Source: RNAcentral
GAUGAACGCUGGCGGCGUGCUUAACACAUGCAAGUCGAACGAAGCACUUAAGAUUGAUUCUUCGGAUGACGUCUUUUGUGACUUAGUGGCGGACGGGUGAGUAACGCGUGGGUAACCUGCCUCACACAGGGGGAUAACAGUUAGAAAUGACUGCUAAUACCGCAUAACCCGAUAGGAUCGCAUGAUCCAGACGGAAAAGAUUUAUCGGUGUGAGAUGGACCCGCGUCUGAUUAGCUAGUUGGCGGGGUAACGGCCCACCAAGGCGACGAUCAGUAGCCGGACUGAGAGGUUGAACGGCCACAUUGGGACUGAGACACGGCCCAG